AACGAACGCUGGCGGCAUGCCUAACACAUGCAAGUCGAACGAGACCUUCGGGUCUAUUGGCGCACGGGUGCGUAACGCGUGGGAACCUGCCCUUAGGUUCGGAAUAACUCCCCGAAAGGGGUGCUAAUACCGGAUAAUGUCUUCGGACCAAAGAUUUAUCGCCUUUGGAUGGGCCCGCGUUGGAUUAGCUAGUUGGUAGGGUAAAAGCCUACCAAGGCGACGAUGCAUAGCUGGUCUGAGAGGAUGAUCAGCCACACUGGGACUGAGACACGGCCCAGACUCCUACGGGAGGCAGCAGUGGGGAAUAUUGGACAAUGGGCGAAAGCCUGAUCCAGCAAUGCCGCGUGAGUGAUGAAGGCCUUAGGGUUGUAAAGCUCUUUUAACCGGGAUGAUAAUGACAGUAACGGGAGAAUAAGCUCCGGCUAACUCCGUG
RNAcentral lists this ribosomal RNA (433 nucleotides) under uncultured bacterium. RNAcentral describes it as "partial 16S ribosomal RNA". It matches the Rfam family "Bacterial small subunit ribosomal RNA", at positions 29 to 507 of the family's 1533-position model. The record is from RNAcentral.